AUUACCGAGUUUACAACUCCCAAACCCAAUGUGAACAUACCUUUAUGUUGCCUCGGCGGGACCGCCCCGGCGCCCUCACCGGCCCGGAACCAGGCGCCCGCCGCAGGGACCCAAACCUCUGUUUUUGUUAAGAUUUCUCCUCUGAGUGGAUUUUACAAAUAAAUCAAAACUUUCAACAACGGAUCUCUUGGCUCUGGCAUCGAUGAAGAACGCAGCGAAAUGCGAUAAGUAAUGUGAAUUGCAGAAUUCAGUGAAUCAUCGAAUCUUUGAACGCACAUUGCGCCCGCCAGCAUUCUGGCGGGCAUGCCUGUCCGAGCGUCAUUUCAACCCUCAGGCUCCCGCGCCUGGCGUUGGGGAUCGGCCUUCACCGGCCGGCCCCGAAAUACAGUGGCGGCCCCGCCCGUGUACCUCUGCGUAGUAGCACAACCUCGCAGCUGGGAGCGGCGGCGGCCACGCCGGAAAACCCCCGACUUCUGAAAGUUGACCUCGGAUCAGG
RNAcentral lists this ribosomal RNA (496 nucleotides) under fungal endophyte. RNAcentral's name for it is "eukaryotic LSU rRNA". The stretch from base 168 to 321 matches the Rfam family "5.8S ribosomal RNA". The record is from RNAcentral. Lineage: Eukaryota; Fungi.